CCGGAAGUUUUUGGCAAUGAAUUUUUCGUAUAAAAACGAGUUUGUGAUUUCGCUGCUCGGGUUUUCUCGAAAGCUUUUGCUUUCUUCGGUACUUCGGAAUCCGGUGCCAAGCUUUCUGAUCUCUCUCCGUGGGGAGAAAAUUCCUAGGCGAUUAGAUAGUUGAUUUUAUUUUCUAUUACGCAGUAAAGACAGUGCAGCAGAUUUUCGCACUGCCGGAAUGGGUCCUUAUGAUUAUCAAAGAAUGAUGAGGGGCAAGGCUGAUACCUCGCAGGUGAUGCUAUCAACUGUGAAGAGGCUUCGAGGCAAGAUCUACAAACGUCUGCCUCGGCUCGCUACCUCGUAAGCAAACAGCGGGGCGUGAAGCAAGCCAGCUACAGGUGCUAGACGGCUUUCUCGUCAAAGAGCGUUCUAUUUCUAGGGUCUCAAUCG
RNAcentral lists this long non-coding RNA (429 nucleotides) under Oryza brachyantha (malo sina). RNAcentral's name for it is "long non-coding RNA (OBRA_LNC002532)". Lineage: Eukaryota; Viridiplantae; Streptophyta; Magnoliopsida; Poales; Poaceae. The record is from RNAcentral.